GUCUGGAAAGGCGCGCGAUACAGGGUGACAGCCCCGUACACAAAAAUGCACAUACUGUGAGCUCGAUGAGUAGGGCGGGACACGUGGUAUCCUGUCUGAAUAUGGGGGGACCAUCCUCCAAGGCUAAAUACUCCUGACUGACCGAUAGUGAACCAGUACCGUGAGGGAAAGGCGAAAAGAACCCCGGCGAGGGGAGUGAAAAAGAACCUGAAACCGUGUACGUACAAGCAGUGGGAGCCUCUUUUAUGGGGUGACUGCGUACCUUUUGUAUAAUGGGUCAGCGACUUAUAUUCUGUAGCAAGGUUAACCGAAUAGGGGAGCCGAAGGGAAACCGAGUCUUAACUGGGCGUUAAGUUGCAGGGUAUAGACCCGAAACCCGGUGAUCUAGCCAUGGGCAGGUUGAAGGUUGGGUAACACUAACUGGAGGACCGAACCGACUAAUGUUGAAAAAUUAGCGGAUGACUUGUGGCUGGGGGUGAAAGGCCAAUCAAACCGGGAGAUAGCUGGUUCUCCCCGAAAGCUAUUUAGGUAGCGCCUCGUGAAUUCAUCUCCGGGGGUAGAGCACUGUUUCGGCAAGGGGGUCAUCCCGACUUACCAACCCGAUGCAAACUGCGAAUACCGGAGAAUGUUAUCACGGGAGACACACGGCGGGUGCUAACGUCCGUCGUGAAGAGGGAAACAACCCAGACCGCCAGCUAAGGUCCCAAAGUCAUGGUUAAGUGGGAAACGAUGUGGGAAGGCCCAGACAGCCAGGAUGUUGGCUUAGAAGCAGCCAUCAUUUAAAGAAAGCGUAAUAGCUCACUGGUCGAGUCGGCCUGCGCGGAAGAUGUAACGGGGCUAAACCAUG
Molecule: ribosomal RNA, 847 nt
Filed under: Escherichia coli
Lineage: Bacteria; Pseudomonadati; Pseudomonadota; Gammaproteobacteria; Enterobacterales; Enterobacteriaceae
Description: partial 23S ribosomal RNA
Rfam family: Bacterial large subunit ribosomal RNA
Source: RNAcentral